GGUUCUAUAGCUUAGUUGGUUAGAGCAUUGGUCUUAUGAGCCAAAAAUCGUGGGUUCAAAUCUCACCAGAACCA
Molecule: non-coding RNA, 74 nt
Organism: Cucurbita moschata (crookneck pumpkin)
Lineage: Eukaryota; Viridiplantae; Streptophyta; Magnoliopsida; Cucurbitales; Cucurbitaceae
Source: the annotation of a RefSeq genome assembly